Molecule: long non-coding RNA, 627 nt
Organism: Brassica oleracea var. oleracea
Lineage: Eukaryota; Viridiplantae; Streptophyta; Magnoliopsida; Brassicales; Brassicaceae
Exons: 3
Source: RefSeq, a predicted model, not a curated record
AUCAAAAAAAAAAAAUCUGGGGCUUAUCGGCGAAAAAAAAAACAGAAUCGGCUCAUUCCCUCGAUCCUUUCAGAAACAAAAUUGUUUUCUUUUUAUAUUUUGGUUUUUAAUCUUUUGUUUCUCUUUCUCUCUUUGCGUGUGUUUAAUUUUAUUUUAAUCUCCCUUCAUCACCUUUUGCCGAUUGGUGAUUUUAUAUGUUAAUCUUGCUUCUUCAAACUCAUUGAUUCUUCUCCUCUGGUUUCAGUUCCCUACAAUUUCUAGACUUUGAUCAUCUUCCACCUUCAUUACCGCGACGCGAAGGAGAGAAAGAAAAAUCAAAGGGUGGGCGAAUAGGAUACUGACACAUAAGGUUCCUAACCAAUCCUAACCCCCCCCCUUCAAUCAAGACCCGGUUCUCUUGUAUUUAGGUAACUGAAGGCAUUAGAAACAAUACAACUAAAAGGAAAAUGGCUGUCACUAUUUUUUUUUUGCGUCACUUCACCAGAUCCGUUUGAUUUUCUACGUCGAUGUUUCUCUAUUAAACCUUCCGGCAACAAUGCUGAGGAAAUUUGGAGAACAAAAUAUUUUUUUUCCAUCUGAUCAGGCUUGUUUAUGUUGGUGACUAUAUUUAUGUUGAUUAUGAGUUUA